RNAcentral lists this ribosomal RNA (296 nucleotides) under uncultured bacterium. RNAcentral describes it as "partial 16S ribosomal RNA". It matches the Rfam family "Bacterial small subunit ribosomal RNA", at positions 775 to 1067 of the family's 1533-position model. The record is from RNAcentral.
GGAUUAGAUACCCUGGUAGUCCACGCUGUAAACGAUGAGAACUGGAUGUGCGAAAGGGAUUAACCUUUUGCGUAUCGAAGCUAACGCGUUAAGUUCUCCGCCUGGGGAGUACGGCCGCAAGGUUAAAACUCAAAGGAAUUGACGGGGGCCCGCACAAGCGGUGGAGCAUGUGGUUUAAUUCGAUGCAACGCGAAGAACCUUACCUACCCUUGACAUCCUGAGAAUCCUGGUGAGAGCCGGGAGUGCCGAAAGGAAUUCAGAGACAGGUGCUGCAUGGCUGUCGUCAGCUCGUGCCG